GCGAUAGUGGCGUAGUUGGUAACGCUCGACCUUGCCAAGGUCGAGACCGCGGGUUCGAGCCCCGUCUAUCGCU
Molecule: transfer RNA, 73 nt
Filed under: Butyrivibrio sp.
Lineage: Bacteria; Bacillati; Bacillota; Clostridia; Lachnospirales; Lachnospiraceae
Description: tRNA-Gly
Rfam family: tRNA
About the family: Transfer RNA (tRNA) molecules are approximately 80 nucleotides in length.
Source: RNAcentral